AGAGUUUGAUCCUGGCUCAGAUUGAACGCUGGCGGCAUGCCUUACACAUGCAAGUCGAACGGCAGCGCGGGGCAACCUGGCGGCGAGUGGCGAACGGGUGAGUAAUAUAUCGGAACGUGCCCUGGAGUGGGGGAUAACGCAGCGAAAGUUGCGCUAAUACCGCAUACGAUCUAAGGAUGAAAGCAGGGGACCGCAAGGCCUUGUGCUCCUGGAGCGGCCGAUAUCUGAUUAGCUAGUUGGUGGGGUAAAGGCCUACCAAGGCAUCGAUCAGUAGCUGGUCUGAGAGGACGACCAGCCACACUGGAACUGAGACACGGUCCAGACUCCUACGGGAGGCAGCAAUGGGGAAUUUUGGACAAUGGGCGAAAGCCUGAUCCAGCAAUGCCGCGUGAGUGAAGAAGGCCU
Molecule: ribosomal RNA, 405 nt
Filed under: uncultured bacterium
Lineage: Bacteria
Description: bacterial SSU rRNA
Rfam family: Bacterial small subunit ribosomal RNA
Source: RNAcentral